UAAGACAGAGGGUGCAAACGUUGUUCGGAAUUACUGGGCGUAAAGCGCGUGUAGGCGGCUAUGCAAGUCGGAUGUGAAAGCCCUCGGCUCAACCGGGGAAGUGCACCCGAAACUGCAAAGCUAGAGUCUCGGAGAGGAUCGUGGAAUUCUCGGUGUAGAGGUGAAAUUCGUAGAUAUCGAGAGGAACACCGGUGGCGAAGGCGGCGAUCUGGACGAUGACUGACGCUGAGACGCGAAAGCGUGGGGAGCAAACAGGAUUAGAUACCCUGGUAGUCCACGCCGUAAACGAUGGGUGCUAGGUGUCGCGGGCUUUGACCCCUGCGGUGCCGCAGCUAACGCAUUAAGCACCCCGCCUGGGAAGUACGGCCGCAAGGCU
This 376-nucleotide ribosomal RNA is filed under the name uncultured bacterium. RNAcentral describes it as "bacterial SSU rRNA". It matches the Rfam family "Bacterial small subunit ribosomal RNA", at positions 521 to 895 of the family's 1533-position model. The record is from RNAcentral.